UCCGAUUGAUCUUGUCGGUGGCUUUCCUUUGUCUUGAAGGUUAAGCCAUGCAUGUCUAAGUAUGAACUGGUUUAAGGUGAAACUGCGUACGGCUCAUUACAUCAGCUAUAACUUUCUUUGAUCAUAAAUUCUAAAUGGAAUAACCGAGGAAAAGCCUGGGCUAAUACAUGCGACAAUUCCGGUAGUAAUAUCGGAAUGCUUUUAUUAGAUCAAAAACCUUCUAGUUCUUUAACCGGAACUGUUUGUUGGUGACUCUAAAUAACUUUGUGUUGAUCGUAUGACCUUUGUGUCGACGACAUAUCUUUCAAGUGUCUGACUUAUCAACUUUAGACGGUACAUUAUAUGUCUACCGUGGUUGUAACGAGUACAGAGAAUCAGGGUUUGGUUCUGGAGAGGCCGCCUGAGAAACGGCGACCACUUCCAAGGAAGGCAGCAGGGGCGCAAAUUACCCACUCUCAAAACGAGGAGGUAGCGAAGAGAAAUAACGAUGUUAGUCUUAUUUAGGCUGACAAUCGGAAUGGGAACACUGUAAACAGGUUAUCGAUUAACAAUUGGAGGGCAAGUCUGGUGCCAGCAGCCGCGGUAAUUCCAGCUCCAAUAAGGAAAACUAAAGUUGCUGUGUUUAAAAAGCUCGUAGUUGAAUUUCGGGUAUUUGUUGCUAGCUGGUCUAACUGGCCAUGUUGGUUAACAGAUCCUCAUUUGCUGGACGGCUGGCGAUGAUCUUUAUCGAUUGUCGUCAGUUGCCAGAACGUUUACUUUUGAGAAAAUUAGAGUGCUAAAAGCAGGCUUUCGCCUAUAUAUAUUGCAUGGAAUAAUGAAAUAAGAUCUCGAUUUUAUUUCGUUGGUUUUAGAAAUUGAGAUAAUGAUUAAUAGGAUCAGAGGGGGGCGUACGUACUGUGGUGUGAGAGGUGAAAUUCUUGGAUCGCCACAGGACGAACAGCAGCGAAGGCGUUCGCCAAGAAUGUUUUCUAUUAAUCAAGAACGAAAGUUUGAGGUUCGAAGACGAUUAGAUACCGUCCUAGUUCAAACCAUAAACGUUGCCAACUGUCUUUUUAGGUGCGGUUAUUUAUAUGRCUCAUCUGGCGGAUCUCGAGAAAUCUAAGUUUUUAGGUUCCGGGGGAAGUAUGGUUGCAAAGCUGAAACUUAAAAGAAUUGACGGAAGGACACACAAGAAGUGGAGCCUGUGGCCUAAUUUGACUCAACACGGGAAACCUUACUCGGCCAGGACACUUUUUAGGAUUGACAGAUUGAGAGCUCUUUCUUGAUUAGGUGGGUGGUGGUGCAUGGUCGUUCGUAGUUCGUGGAGCGAUUUGUCUGAUUAAUUUCGAUAACGAACGAGACUCCGGCUU
RNAcentral lists this ribosomal RNA (1349 nucleotides) under Adineta vaga. Its description in RNAcentral is "SSU rRNA". It matches the Rfam family "Eukaryotic small subunit ribosomal RNA", at positions 1 to 1360 of the family's 1831-position model. The record is from RNAcentral. Lineage: Eukaryota; Metazoa; Rotifera; Eurotatoria; Adinetida; Adinetidae.